Small nuclear RNA from Cervus hanglu yarkandensis (Yarkand deer), 102 nucleotides. The record is from Ensembl. Lineage: Eukaryota; Metazoa; Chordata; Mammalia; Artiodactyla; Cervidae.
UCGCUUUGGCAGCACAUAUACUGAAACUGGAAUGAUACAGAGAAGAUUAGUAUGGUCCCUGAGCAAGGAUGAAUGAAUAUUCAUGAAACAUUCCAUAUUUUU